Molecule: long non-coding RNA, 527 nt
Organism: Lemur catta (Ring-tailed lemur)
Lineage: Eukaryota; Metazoa; Chordata; Mammalia; Primates; Lemuridae
Exons: 3
Source: RefSeq, a predicted model, not a curated record
GAUUUCCAGUGCCAGGAGCCUAGGACAUGCUCAUUUUGUGACAUCACAUCUGACCCUGUGCCUUUGUGACAUGCCAGAAAGGUUCACGUAGGAACAAAAAGUUUGGGACUGCUGUCACAUAGCGAGGGCUCCGCGAUCCCCGUGCCCCUACGGACACAUCAUGCCGACGGCCGCUUACGUCUGCAACAAAGCCAGCAUGCUGCUCCGUCCGCCGCCUGCCCUCGGUCCCGGCCACCUUCUAGGCAGCAUCUUCAGGACAGCAGCUCUGUGAGAUGAAAGGAGACCGUCUGGCUAGGGCAGCCCUGUCCCCUUCUGCCUACCUUAAAAAUCAGUCGUGAGUCCCAGAGGCGCUGCAGCCAUCUUGCCACCAUGAGGCAACAAGCACAAGGACGAAAAUCCCACAUGGUGAGGCUGGUGGAACAGAAAGAACCUGAGUCCUUGGGACUCAACCUGCGCUGCCCACUUCUGGUCUCCUUGUUGGCUGAGCAAAAUAAACCCCUCUAGGCGGAAGCUGCUGUAACUGUGGU